This 2842-nucleotide long non-coding RNA is filed under the name Homo sapiens (human). RNAcentral's name for it is "non-protein coding LINC01063:7". The record is from RNAcentral. Lineage: Eukaryota; Metazoa; Chordata; Mammalia; Primates; Hominidae.
GAUUUCAUGGAGGCCCGGGGCCGCGGGCGCUGUUCUCCUUCCUGUGCCGAGUGUGGUUUGCUAUCAAGCGGUGGCAGUUCAGCCACAAUCAGGGGCAGGGGGAGGGAGAGGCCCCCCGAAGAGGCAGAGGCCCUGCCUCGGCCGCCCUGAGCCUGGAAGCAUCAUGUUGCCUUUUAAUAUGGAGCAUGUGCCAUAGCUCUCCAGGAGAACCCCUCUGUGUCACAGCGAACCUCAGUCACUGACACUCAAAAGAAGGAAUUAUUUCAACUCAAUAAUAAACAAAUAACCCUAUUUUAAAAUCAGCAAAGGGUGUUACCACAUUUCCACAGAAGGUAUACAAAUGGCCAGUAAUCAUGUGAAAAGAUGCUUGAUAUCAUUUGUCAUCAGGGAAAUGCAAAUCAAAACUGCAAUGAGAGGCCAGGCGCUGUGGCUCACACCUGUAAUCCCAGCGCUUUGGGAGGCUGAGGCAGGUGGAUCGCUUGAGCCCAGGAGUUCAAACCCAGCCUGACCAACAUGGUGAAACCCCGUCUCUACAAAAAAAUACAAAAAUUAGCCGGGCACAGUGGCCUGUGCCUGUAAUCCCAGCUACUCAGGAGGCUGAGGCAGGAGACUCACUUGAACCCAGGAGGCAGAGGUUGCAGUGAGCCGAGAUUGUGCCAUUGCACUCCAGCCUGGGUGACGGGAGUGAAACCCUGUCUAAAAAAACCCCAAAAACAAAAACUACAAUGACAUAUCACUUUAUAUGCACUAGGAUGCCUAGCAUCAAAAGGUCAAAUAAAACAAGUAUGUGGAGAAACUGCGACCCUCAUACACUGCUGGUGGGAAUGUAAGAUGGUGCAGAAACUUUGGAAAGGAGUCUGGCAGCUCCUCAAAAGCUGGGACCACAGGUGCCUGCCACCACACCCGACUAAUUUUUUGUAUUUUUGGUAGAGAUGGGGUUUCUGCCCAGGCUGGUCUUGAACUUCUGAGCUCAAGCGAUCCACCCGCCUCAGCCUCCCAAAGUGCUGGGAAUACUGGCUUGAGCCACUGCGCCCAGCUAUGCAGUGGAACAUUUCUCAGCCAUAGAAGAGAAUAAAGUACUGAUACAUGCUACAACAGGGACAAACUUUGAAAACAUUAUGCUAAGUGAAAAAAGUCAGUCACAAAUGAUCACAUGUUACAUGAUUUCAUUUACAUGAAUUGUUCAGAGAAGGCAAAUCUGUAGAGAGAGAAAGAUUAGUGGUUACCUAGGUCUGGGGGUUUGGGGGAAAAUGGGAGUGACUGGUAAUGGGUAUGGGGUUUCCUUUUGAGGUUAUGAAAAUGUUCUAAAAUUGUGGUGAUGGUUUCAUGAGUAUGUGAACAUGCUAAAAGCAAUUGCCUUGUACACAUUAAAUGCGUAAAUUAUAUGGUAGAUGAGUUAUAGCUCAAUAAAGCUGUUCUAUAAAAAUAAACCACUGGGCACUGUGGCUCACGCCUGUAAUCCCAGCACUUUGGGAGGCCGAGGCAGGCAGAUCACCUGAGGUCAGGAGUUCGAGACCAGCCUGACCAACAUGGUGAAACCCUGUUUCUACUAAAAAUACAAAAUUAGUUGGGUGUGGUGGUGCAUGCUUGUAAUCCCAGCUACUCAGGAGGCUGAGACAGGAGAAUCACUUGAACCUGGGAGGUGGAGGUUGCAAAUGAGCCGAGAUCACGCCAGAAAAAAAGAAUAGGUUAACAUAGACUCAGUAUACAAGAAAGGGAAGUGUGGCGGCUCACAUCUGUAAUCCCCGUGAAGUGGGAUUUGUUUAACAUUUUUUGAAAAUCAGAAUAAAAAAGAUUAGUGCUUAAACUGAUACUCUCUAGUUAUUUGGAAAAUACAUUUAUGUAAAACAUGUGUUUUCCUAUUAUAGUCUAAAUUAGAACAUUGGAGCACCUAGCAACAUCUUAAAGCUAGUUAAACAGAAUGACAUCAUAUUUUGACCAUACUGUUUUGAAAUUGUGCAGUUUCUCUUUGUAUCUCUAGAGUGAUUCAUGAAUAUGUAUUUGGCUUCUCAAAUUAAAAAUAUUUCACUGCUAUUGAACUAUUCCUUUAAUAUCUGUAUAAAUGUUUUUAAGUAUUAUAUUUUGAGGAUUUUGAAGCUUUAGGUUUCUUAUUUAAAAUACAAUUAUCGGCCAGGCAUGGUGGCUCACACCUGUAAUCCCAGCACUUUGGGAGGCCGAGGCGGGUGAAUCACAAGGUCAAGAGAUCAAAACCAUUCUGGCCAACAUGGUGAAACCCCGUCUCUACUAAAAAUACAAAAAAAGUUUAGCCAGGCGUGGUCGUGGGCACCUGUAGUCCCAGCUACUCAGGAGGCUGAAGCAGGAGAAUGAUGUGAACCCAGGAGGCGUAGGUUGCAGUGAGCUGAGAUCGCACCACUGCACUCCAGCCUGGCAACAGAGCGAGACUCUGUCUCAAAAAAAUACAAUAAUAAAAUAAAAUAAAAAAUAAAAUAAAAUAUAGAAUCAUCUGGGCCAGGCACGGUGGCCCAUGCCUGUAAUCCCAGUACUUUGGGAGGCUGAGGUAGGUGGAUCCCUUGAGCUCAAGAGAUUGAAACCAGCCUAGGCAACAUGGUGAAACCCCAUAUCUACAAAAAUACAAAAUGCAAAAGAAUUAGCCAGGCAUGGUGGCACGCGCCUGUUGUCCCAGCUACUCGGGAGGCUAAGGCGAAAGGAUCAUUUGCACCCAGAAAGUCGAGGCUGCAGUGAGCCAAGAUUGCGCCACUGCACUCAAGCCUGGGUGACAAAGCGAGACCCUGUCUCAAAAACAAAACAAAAUUUUAAAAUUGCCACAAUUAUCCUUAAUCUUAUGUUGGAGAUGAUUACUAGGGAGAUCAUUAAUAUAUAA